RNAcentral lists this transfer RNA (77 nucleotides) under Oscillibacter sp. Its description in RNAcentral is "tRNA-Arg". It matches the Rfam family "tRNA". Rfam says of the family: Transfer RNA (tRNA) molecules are approximately 80 nucleotides in length. Their secondary structure includes four short double-helical elements and three loops (D, anti-codon, and T loops). The record is from RNAcentral. Lineage: Bacteria; Bacillati; Bacillota; Clostridia; Eubacteriales; Oscillospiraceae.
GCCCUGAUAGCUCAGAUGGAUAGAGCGACCGCCUCCUAAGCGGUAGGCCGCUGGUUCGAAUCCAGUUCAGGGUGCCA